This 424-nucleotide ribosomal RNA is filed under the name uncultured bacterium. RNAcentral's name for it is "bacterial SSU rRNA". It matches the Rfam family "Bacterial small subunit ribosomal RNA", at positions 356 to 771 of the family's 1533-position model. The record is from RNAcentral.
GGGGAAUAUUGCGCAAUGGGGGAAACCCUGACGCAGCAACGCCGCGUGGGUGAUGAAGGCUUUCGGGUCGUAAAGCCCUGUCAGCGGGGAAGAAACUCCGGGAUUCGAAUAGGGUCUCGGAUUUACGGUACCCGCGGAAGAAGCACCGGCUAACUACGUUCCAGCAGCCGCGGUAAUACGUAGGGUGCGAGCGUUAAUCGGAAUUACUGGGCGUAAAGCGUGCGCAGGCGGUUUGCUAAGACAGGUGUGAAAUCCCCGGGCUUAACCUGGGAACUGCGCUUGUGACUGGCAGGCUAGAGUACGGCAGAGGGGGGUGGAAUUCCACGUGUAGCAGUGAAAUGCGUAGAUAUGUGGAGGAACACCGAUGGCGAAGGCAGCCCCCUGGGCCUGUACUGACGCUCAUGCACGAAAGCGUGGGGAGCAA